CAUCACCGUGUUCACCAACCCCACCCAAGUGGCCACUUACCACCGAGCAAUCAAGGUGACUGUGGAUGGACCCCGGGAGCCCAGACGGGCCCAAGCAGCAAGGGCAACAGUAUCUCCUCCAAGACCUGGCAGGGCUGAGGCUCAGCCCUGCGGCUCUCUCCUAGAGACUGCCUCCUGACGGGCAUCCUUUAAGCUUCCUCAGCGGCUGAGGUCACACAACCAAUCAGAGAAUGAAAUCAUUAAUUUGGUGGUUACAAACUAGCAGCCCUUGGGUAAGACAUGUCCUUCAAAAUGGUUGUUUGUUUGUUUUAUUCAGUAUUUGAAUUAAUUCCCAACAUUUCAGAUAAGGGAGAUGGCCCCUUCUGCAAGGCACACUCUCUCCAGUCUGCCCUAGUCCCCUCCCAUCCCAUGUACCUCGUCUGUGUGACUUGCUUGGUCCCACCAUGCAUCUGAGUUUGUGGCCCCAGCUCCAGCCAAACUUACCCGCAGCCCUUGUUUUCUCUGUUGCUAAGGUCCUCGAAGGCAGCAGCAGGGGACCUGGCGGGAGGCCAGGUGGUCUCCUGGCUGCCAAGUGUCCCAUGGAAGGGACAGGGCUUCCCUGGUUCUUCGUGACUUGCUGAGCCCGCUGUGGCUCCCAGGACUACCAGUUGCGUUUCUAAGGUGCCCAUUAGAGUUUGUGGCAGGGGUAUGUAGACAGCCUGGGGGUCUGGGUACCCAAAUCCAUUGCACCCCAUUAUGAAAUUCAGAAAUCAAGCCCAUUCCAAGGCCUCCAACUCUGUCCCCAUUCCCAGUGCUAGUCAAGUCAUUUCACACUUUUUCAGGCCCCCAGGAUGCCAUUUUCCAGACCUCAGGAAGGAUGGUGAGGAGUUCUAUUUUAUUUCCCACCUACUUUCUUCUCUCCUUGUCAGUCUAGAAAAUUCUGCCCAUCACUUCAGACCCAAGGACCCAGGCAAGCCUUCCCCUCUCCCUUAGCCCCUUCCCAUGCUGCUUUUCCAAGAAAUCCUAGGUCCAGGAAAUCCUUCCCCAUGCCUUCCUGUGUGACCUCAGGAAAGCCUCUUCACCUCUCUGAGCCACAGUUCUCCACCUGGCCUCCUCCCUCACGGGCACGUGGAGCAGAGCAGACCAGCAGAAUGGGUGUUAGGCUGAUUGGCAGAACUCUGCAAUGUCUGGCCUCUGAGUGAGCAGUCCAUUCUAGUGUCUGAGAGAAACACCCAGACAUGAGGCGGUGUGAGCAGCGAUGCUCCUGGGAGUACUGCGCGUGAGGGAGUCCCGGAGAUGCGGGAACAACCUAGGCAUCCAUUGGAGAGGAACGGCCGAGUGAGCUGGGGCAUCAGCGGAUGUGACAGGCAGAGCGAGGCCGUCAGCCAGCAACGCCGUGCGACCUUCCUCACCUCACUGAGCUUCACUCGGCCCCAGGGAGGGCUCCCAAGGUUGUGCAGGAGCUGCUGUUUCUAGGGGGGUGAGGCUAGGUUCCUCUCCCCAUUUUACAGAUCAGCAAACUGAGGUGGCCCUCCAGGGAAUGCUGCUGAGAAAGCAAGUUACAGAAUGACAGAAACAGGCGGAAACCAUUCAAGAAAGUUCCAUGAGAAACUUGUGUGUUCCAAUCAUGUGAAACCAAAAAAAGGCCAGAACGCAA
Molecule: non-coding RNA, 1636 nt
Organism: Manis javanica (Malayan pangolin)
Lineage: Eukaryota; Metazoa; Chordata; Mammalia; Pholidota; Manidae
Source: RefSeq, a predicted model, not a curated record